GCCGAGGUGGCGGAACAGGCAGACGCGCCAGACUCAAAAUCUGGUGGGGGAAACCCCGUGUGGGUUCGAGUCCCACUCUCGGCACCA
This 87-nucleotide transfer RNA is filed under the name Chromatiales bacterium USCg_Taylor. RNAcentral's name for it is "tRNA-Leu". It matches the Rfam family "tRNA". From Rfam's summary of the family: Transfer RNA (tRNA) molecules are approximately 80 nucleotides in length. The record is from RNAcentral. RNAcentral also lists the same sequence under 1 other name. Lineage: Bacteria; Pseudomonadati; Pseudomonadota; Gammaproteobacteria; Chromatiales.